Molecule: long non-coding RNA, 1228 nt
Filed under: Marmota monax (woodchuck)
Lineage: Eukaryota; Metazoa; Chordata; Mammalia; Rodentia; Sciuridae
Source: RNAcentral
CAGAGCAGAGACCACCGGGCCCGCAGAGCCUGAAGCACUUACCAUCCCGCUCUGCACAGGCUGCCCCGAGCACCGCUGUCUUGGCCGCCCUGUGGCCCAGUGAACUCUGGGAUGGCAGCAACUGGAUGGAGCAAUCAGCCUAGGGAACAUCCCCAGCCCUUGGACACCGCCAGACCUCCCUCCCUCCCUGCCCUGAUGGCACGGCAGAACUCAAGGGUCUUCCCAGGACGGCAGCCCUGUAAGAAAGCACGUCCCUGGAGAGCCUGCAUUCCUGUGGCAUCUCCACUAUUUAUAUUGAAAACACCACAAGAACUCAUUUUUCAUGCUAUUUCAGCUGAAAAGAGCCGUGGCAGGACGCGAGCUGGAGCCGGGGACGGCGGGCGAGCGUGUUUGUGCAGGCGGGGCUCAGCCUGCCGUGCCCCGGGUUGCCUGUCCCAGGUGCACUGGGCGCCGGCCAGGCUUCUUUCUGGGAUACUGGGCCUGAGGAAUGAGGGUAAGUCCAGAGGGGCCGAGGCGCCCCCCUGGACACCUCAUCUCCUCUAAUCUGCAAAAAAACAUGAAAACGCAAGCUGGCUCUCAUACUUGCACCUUGUCCGACAACCUAACAUGGGUCGUUAAUUGAAAUAAAACGAAACCAAAUGCAAGCCAGAUGUUCGAGUAGAUUCUCUUACACACAGUUCAUAUGGAAAUGCCCAAGAUGCGUAUUUGAGGGGCACAGGGUUACCACCCUGUCUCUACCCCAACAACUUGCUUUGAUUCUCUCAUGGCACCAAGGCAACAAGAGAGGAGGAAAAAAAAAAACAGAGACAAAUAAACUAUAAUUUAGGAUUAUUUUUUCUGUUUUGUCCCCGUAAGAAGAUAAACUUCACAAGAGACUAUGUAUGUUGUUCACUGUAGUAUCUUUGAUGGCCAAACACAACCUGGAACAUAAUAAGUGUUCAAUUAAUAGUUGUUUAUGGAACAAGUGCUUAAUUUCUAUAUGCCAGAUGCUCAAUUAAUAGUUGUUUAUGGAACAAAUGCUUAAUUUUAUAUGCCAGUAACAUACAUUACUGUUAUAAUUUUAAAAUGCAUUAUAUAAAAGCAUAUUUCUAACAAGUCCAAGAACAGAAACUGAUGUCUUAUUUAAUGCAUUUCUAUUGACGCCUCACAUUAUUGUUUUUUUUUCUUUGCCUAAGGAUGGCUUGCAAAUAUUCAUAGCAAAUAUUCAAUUAAUACCUCUAGAAUAUCU